RNAcentral lists this ribosomal RNA (497 nucleotides) under uncultured bacterium. Its description in RNAcentral is "partial 16S ribosomal RNA". It matches the Rfam family "Bacterial small subunit ribosomal RNA", at positions 28 to 507 of the family's 1533-position model. The record is from RNAcentral.
GAUGAACGCUGCCGGCGUGCCUAAUACAUGCAAGUCGAGCGAACAGAUGAGGAGCUUGCUCCUCUGACGUUAGCGGCGGACGGGUGAGUACCACGUGAAUAACCUACCUAAAAGACUGGGAUAACUUCGGGAAACCGGAGCUAAACCCGGAUAAUAUCUUAAACCGCAUGGUUCAAAAGUGAAAGACGGUUUUGCUGUCACUUAUAGAUGGAUCCGCGCCGCAUUAGCUAGUUGGUAAGGUAACGGCUUACCAAGGCAACGAUGCGUAGCCGACCUGAGAGGGUGAUCGGCCACACUGGAACUGAGACACGGUCCAGACUCCUACGGGAGGCAGCAGUAGGGAAGCUUCCGCAAUGGGCGAAAGCCUGACGGAGCAACGCCGCGUGAGUGAUGAAGGUCUUCGGAUCGUAAAACUCUGUUAUUAGGGAAGAACAAAUGUGUAAGUAACUAUGCACGUCUUGACGGUACCUAAUCAGAAAGCCACGGCUAACUACGUG